Molecule: ribosomal RNA, 471 nt
Filed under: Triticum aestivum (bread wheat)
Lineage: Eukaryota; Viridiplantae; Streptophyta; Magnoliopsida; Poales; Poaceae
Description: partial small subunit ribosomal RNA
Source: RNAcentral
AUGCGCCAGCUUCACAGUGCCUAUGAUCUCCCAUGGUUACUGAUCGGAGACCUCAAUGAAAUUCAAUCACUUCACGAAAAGGAAGGAGAUAACCCUCGUCCUCAACAAUAUAUGAUGGCUUUCCAGACAGCUAUUGAGGAUUGCGAGUUACGCGACCGUGGUUUUGUUGGAGACCGAUUCACAUGGCAAAUGGGAAGAAUUCGGGAAAGGCUAGACAUGGGCAUGAUUAAUGAUGCAUGGUCAGUGUUAUUCCAUGAAGCGGCUUUGGAGAAUCUGAAAUAUAAUCACAGCGAUCGUCGACCCUUACUUGUGAAUACGGAGUACUACUCGUUACCGAACCAAGCUGGUCUGGGACAACCAAGGAGGUUUGAGGCAAGGUGGCUACGCGAAAAUGGUUUAAUGAAACAAUGCUUGAUGCAUGGAAUAAAGUUGGGUGUGAUCCGACAGCAAAUAACAUUUAUACAAAGCUGA